This 253-nucleotide ribosomal RNA is filed under the name uncultured bacterium. RNAcentral's name for it is "partial 16S ribosomal RNA". It matches the Rfam family "Bacterial small subunit ribosomal RNA", at positions 524 to 776 of the family's 1533-position model. The record is from RNAcentral.
UACGUAGGGUGCAAGCGUUGUCCGGAAUUAUUGGGCGUAAAGAGCUCGUAGGCGGUCUGUCACGUCGGCUGUGAAAUCCCGAGGCUCAACCUCGGGUCUGCAGUCGAUACGGGCAAACUAGAGUAUUGCAGGGGAGACUGGAAUUCCUGGUGUAGCGGUGAAAUGCGCAGAUAUCAGGAGGAACACCGAUGGCGAAGGCAGGUCUCUGGGCCGAUACUGACGCUGAGGAGCGAAAGCGUGGGGAGCGAACAGG